Molecule: long non-coding RNA, 1088 nt
Organism: Cygnus olor (mute swan)
Lineage: Eukaryota; Metazoa; Chordata; Aves; Anseriformes; Anatidae
Exons: 4
Source: RefSeq, a predicted model, not a curated record
CGGAGCCCCUCACACCGCUUCUUCCCCCCCCCCCGGGAACAAGGCGGGUGGUGCUUUCCGCACGCACCCCCCCCCCCCCGGAACGCGGCGGGUGGUACAGUCCGCGCUCCCCCCCUCCCUUCUCGGCGCCUACCGCCGCCCCUGCUGCUGACGUGCUUUGGCAUGUUUGGCUUCCACUUGGAAACAGACACACUUGGAAAGGGUGGAUUUUCUCCUUGGGAAAGCUCCUCCACUUUGCAGUACUUGAAAACCAGGUUGCCUUUGGAGCAUUUCACAGGAUUUGAACCUACGGGCUCGGAGCAUCGGCUUGUGGCAACAGGCUUGGCGUCCCAGAGACAAAGCCUUAGGGUGACCUGCGGGCAUCGCCGGGUGCUCAGGAGCUUUCAGCAACCAAAGAAAGAGACUGCUGGGAGGAAGCAAUGAAGACAAACCCUGCAUUCAGAUUCAGCAUUUCAUCCAGUAUCUCGCAUCUUCAAACAUGGAGAUCCCAGGCUAUGUUAUUUAUGGUUCCCUGAUGCAAGGAAACCAGUUGUUAUCCUUUGUUAAUUGGUUUAGAUUAAGACAGGUAUUUCUGGAACCAGCAACUGCUAAUCUUACUUCAGUGAGGAAUUUUUCAUUUUACCCACAAGUGGAGAGCUCUAAACAUAGAGGUAGGUAAUACACUGUAGCCAAGGGCAGGAUAAUCUGUCUAACAGGGCAGAUGACAUUCUUCCCAAUUAUUAUAAAAGAAAAGACAUGAUAGGUGUUACGUCAAAGAAGGUCUGGUAUUCACUGAACAGGCAAUAUUUUAUUUAAGAGAAAUGUUUCAGCUGUGCCUACAGUGUUGUUUUUUUUUUCUAUGCUUAGUAAACUGAAUAAUUUGCUGUUCUACAAAAAUAUCACCCUAUUUAUUCAUUGUUUUUAGAAGUGGGAAGUGCAGCACUGAAGCUAGAGCUUUGCAAUGGGUAUGACAGUGAAAUUCAAAGUAAACAGGUAUCACAAAGUCUGGAUCGUCAGCGCAUGCGUACCUGAGACCAAUAUUGACAAAUUGCUCCUAAAAAUAAAUAAAUAAAUAAAUAAAUAUAAUAAUAAAAAAACACUGAAUCAGC